ACGAAGGCUUGAAACGUCCCUCCUGGCUAUGGAGCACCCCGGUCUGGGCAGACCCACGAUGGACAGACGGACAGGGCAGAGCGAAGCCACCGAGCCCACCAAGGAGCAUCUCUUCUCCAUUGCCUGCUGCAGGGGUGGCUCCUGGGGUACCUGGAGGGGGGGCUGAGCCUUAUCUGACGGCAGCGUUUCCACGGAGGAGAUCAGAGGGCUUUGAAGGCGUCGCGGGAGCUCGGCGGAGCAGCUUGGGAUGAGGCUGGCAGUGAUUUGGCACUGCAGAUCCGUCCUUCCUCAGCUUUCCCACCAUUUCAGGUGUCGUGAUACCUCCAACUUGCGGAGAACCCAUGGAGCAGCCCCCUCAUCCCUCAGGAGACAUUCCGACCACCCAGGAAACUUUUUCAAGCCAGCCGCGAUGCAGAGGCUUUGUGCAUGGCCAGAUGCUCUUCUGCCUUCAAACUGAUGAAGAAAUCGCAAGGAGGGGCACGAGUCGGCAGGGCUGAGGGGCAAAGCUGGACCCAA
Molecule: long non-coding RNA, 516 nt
Organism: Harpia harpyja (harpy eagle)
Lineage: Eukaryota; Metazoa; Chordata; Aves; Accipitriformes; Accipitridae
Exons: 4
Source: RefSeq, a predicted model, not a curated record